GAAGCCAUGAUAGCAUUAGGGUAACAAAUUCAACAAUGCUUAGCAAAGCUGCAAUGUCAUGCAUGUUAUAAAAAUGAGUAGCUAGACAACAAACGCAAUCACCAAACUUUCCUGAGAUGUCAAGUUACAAUGAUGCAGGCCAGGCCAUUCGAUUUGGCCUUUCCAAGGUAGCACUAACAUGUACGGAAAUAAGAAUGAGGGAGGUUUGUUAAAGAAUCUCUAAUUCUUAAAGAGAUACCCGCAUAAAACUGAUAAAGAAAGUUGAGAAAAAAAGGAAAAUCAUAUAAGAAGUUAGUCAGACUAGUGAACAACUUUGACCCAUAAAUUAUACUAAAUAAUUACGUCUUUAAAGGAACUUCCACCUCUUACACAGAACUCAUACUAGAGGAUUAGAAAAGGAAGUUUAAAGUCAAAUAGCAGAUGCCCAUGCUGCAAGUUACAUAUAAAAAUCAUUUCUGCAUUCUUUCUUCAGUAAAAAUAACCUCCUAGCAUUUCAGAUCCAAUCAAACUGUCCUUAUCCUCUUUGCAGGACUAUUGAUUGAUGGCCAAAAAAGAAAAAGUAAGAAAAGUGAUGCAGGUGGAAUAAACACGAGAAUUUUAAUGAGCGAAAUGGGCUGUAGAUGUGA
This is a long non-coding RNA of Populus euphratica (Euphrates poplar), 626 nucleotides long. RefSeq lists it as uncharacterized. The transcript is spliced from 3 exons. Lineage: Eukaryota; Viridiplantae; Streptophyta; Magnoliopsida; Malpighiales; Salicaceae. The record is from RefSeq and is a predicted model, not a curated record.